This 493-nucleotide ribosomal RNA is filed under the name uncultured bacterium. Its description in RNAcentral is "partial 16S ribosomal RNA". It matches the Rfam family "Bacterial small subunit ribosomal RNA", at positions 28 to 507 of the family's 1533-position model. The record is from RNAcentral.
GACGAACGCUGGCGGCGUGCUUAACACAUGCAAGUCGAACGGUGAAGGGACCGGUUUUUGCUGGUUCUGGAUGAGUGGCGAACGGGUGAGUAACACGUGAGUAACCUGCCCCCUUCUUCUGGAUAACCGCAUGAAAGUGUGGCUAAUACGGGAUAUUCUGCGCCUGCUGCAUGGUGGGUGUGGGAAAGAUAUUGUUUCGGUGGGGGAUGGGCUCGCGGCCUAUCAGCUUGUUGGUGGGGUGAUGGCCUACCAAGGCGGUGACGGGUAGCCGGCCUGAGAGGGUGGACGGUCACACUGGGACUGAGACACGGCCCAGACUCCUACGGGAGGCAGCAGUGGGGAAUAGUGCACAAGGGGCGCAAGCCUGAUGCAGCGACGCCGCGUGAGAGAUGGAGGCCUUCGGGUUGUAAACCUCUUUCGCCAGUGAAGCAGGCCUGUCCCUUUUGUGGGUGGGUUGACGGUAGCUGGAUAAGAAGCGCCGGCUAACUACGUG